CGCUGGAGGCAGCGGUUCAUCGAUCAAUUCCUGGGAACUCUCUUUUUUUAAAUGUUUCGAUGGUUUUGGAAUAUAAUUUACAUCGAAAGCACGAAUCGAUCGAUAAACCUCUGCAUCCAGC
Capsella rubella is the source of this 121-nucleotide non-coding RNA. The record is from Rfam. NCBI's taxonomy places the organism in Eukaryota, Viridiplantae, Streptophyta, Magnoliopsida, Brassicales, Brassicaceae.